RNA transcript from Frankliniella occidentalis (western flower thrips), 3077 nucleotides. RefSeq lists it as uncharacterized. The record is from RefSeq and is a predicted model, not a curated record. NCBI's taxonomy places the organism in Eukaryota, Metazoa, Arthropoda, Insecta, Thysanoptera, Thripidae. The transcript is spliced from 3 exons.
CACGAGUCCACGAGUGUAGGACUGGACGUAUCCUACGGUUGAAAGUGUAGGACACCUCUUGUACUACAGUUAUAGCUGAGGUACAAUGGUGCCCUACACUUUUAACUUGGAACACGUCUGUCCUACACUUUAAACUGCAGUACACAUUGGUCCUACACUUAUAAGUGCAGUGAAACCAAAAGAGUUUGAAAAGACAUCGUUCUCGGAACUAUUUUGAUAACAAGACGAAAAUUCAAAAAAACAGUUUUUUACUGUUUUUUACUCGGUUUUUUACUGGUUUUUUACUUUCACUUCAAAAAAACGUUUUUUUUUUAUCUCUACCGCGAGCACUCUCGCGCUCUGAGACUGGCCAGCCCAGCCCAGCGCAGCCCGCCUCCGGGCGUAAAAAUGGGUUUGCGGUGUGAUACACCACGGCUAGACCGUUCGGUUUUUAGGGUUUAUAUUUUGCUGGGUUGUAGACCAAACCGUAGUCUACAAUGACAUCAAAUUCAAUUUUCUCUCUCAUCAAUAGUUCAGCUGUAGUUUGAAGCGCCGCAAACACUUUCUGCCGAGGCCCGGUCCCGGCCGCGGCCGGCCACCCUCAAGUCAAAGUGCGAGCGAGACCGAGGAGACAGGCAGGAGACAGGUCCACAUCAGUGCACAAUAGGGUCCGGCGGCGGUAAUCCGUCCGAAUACUGCUUGCCCCGCUGCCCCCCGGAGCAGUGAGUGGGAGCGAGAGGGAAGCACUGUACCUGAACGCGGCCACUGACCGGGCCGUGUCGAGCCGGACCCGCCCGCCCGUAGCCCCGCACCUCCCCUCAGACCCCUCGUGUACUGCGGGACGGUAUGCUCGGAAAUCCAAGGGGCUCGGAGUGCAGGGGUUCGGCCCGAUAUACACCACUCCCAAACCGGUUCAUUUUUUAAUUUCAUAUUUGAUAGGCUUGUAGAUCAAAGAUAGACGCACGACGACACCUAUUUCGUUUUUCUACUGGACCACCCGUUAAGUUGCCUUAGUCCUCCAAAGUUGACUGUAAUUUUUCACAAUUUCCAGGGGGUGUAGAUGCCAGAGGAGUGAUCCGAUCGGAAAACAAAAUAGAUGCCGUUGUAGAGCGGCAAAACUACUAUGAAAUGAACGUCGCGUGGAUCCGAUCGCAUUAAAAAUAUGGAUGUGGUGUAUAUCGGCGUUUUCCGAUUUUACGAACUUUGACGGCUUCUCCAGCCCACAAAUUUUAAAUUUGACAAAUUUUGUUUACGGUGCGUUGUUGUGCGUAAUCUACUCUGUCGGACAGCAUUCUCAGCUCAAAACUUUUUUUGGGGGUGUAAACGCCUUAAUGAGAGAAGCAACUGAUAGCAGGCGAUAAACCUGGAUGAACUGAACAGGGUCAGGAUGUGUGUUACACCCAAAGGCUUGCCGAACAUCUCCAAAGAAGUGCUAAGGGAUCAGAAAUAAAUUAUAUUCAUUUUCUUCGUCCUCAUCCAAGUCAUCAUCUGCCCCUCUGAUGCUAUCCCAGGGAGUGUUUGCAUUCAUAGCAUCAAUAAGGGCAUUUACUCGGCGAAUAAAUUUUAUGGUGGGACCACUGUCUUCUAGGCCUUGGUACCCCUCUUCUUUAUACGAUUCCAUAGCAUCUGCCACACCUCCACUGAAAAACUGAAACAAGUAUUAUGAAAAUUUAAAUGCAUUUUUAAAUAAGUAUCUUUUUAUUUUUUCACCACAAUUUGAAACUUACAGUGAAUGCCAUUCCUACAUUCAUGGUUUGGUAAUUGUGUGGAUAGAGAUGGUCUCUUGUGAGUUUGUAGCAGCGCUGAAUGGGUUUAUCCCUGGCAUUGUCAGCUUGCCACAAAGCUUCCCAGUGAGAGAAUUUCACCGUACCUUCAGGUGUAACAAGCUGCAGAAAAUAUCACAUAUGUAGACUUUCAAAAUUUUAUUUAGUUUUGGAUAGCUUAAAAUAUUUUUUCUACUUACAUCUUUGACAUUCCCUUUAUCUUUACUGGGCAAAAUCCUACUUUUAAGAGAUUUGAUUAAGUGAGGGAAGUCUGAGCACAUAUAAAUUCUUCGGUCAGGAUCACAAGGAUGAGCAAAGCUUGUUUUACCCUUUAUACUGCGGUCUACAAUUGUCUGUCUUUUCUUUUUUUUGCAGUAAAUGGAUUUUUUAGGCCCAACUCUGUCCACAUUUGUCUGUUCCAUGAGGCGCCAUCACAGACCCACAUGUCAACAUGGAACCCAGCCUUUUCCAACAAACAAGUUGCUUCCAGAGACAGCUUUCCAAGGACUGGUCCCUUUACCGCACCUUUAGAUAAAAAAGCCCCCACUCUCUGGAACCAAGGUCCUUUCCAUGGCUUAAACAUGUACACUAGAGCAUGAUCACCAGGCUGAUCUUUUUGUUCCCCUGGUGUGUGAUCCCCAAGGGUGACAAAUCCCUGAAUCUUUAAUAGAUUGCAGUUGAAAUGCAAACAUGGUGUUAGGCACAUUUCAUCAAACAUCAAACAACCUUGUGGGGAGGAAAAGUUACAGAAAAAUUAGGAAAAAGUAUUUAUUUUUUACUACUUCAUAUAGUUUCAAAUCAACUUACCAUGGCGCUCAUCCACCUCCAUCUCUUUGCUUUUCUUUUCCAACAUUUCAAAAGUGGCUGGGAGGAAUCCAUAUGCAGGCUUGAGCCUUUUCAUGUACCUCUGCAAAGUACGAGGAGAUGGUAAUGCCAGAGUUUGAUCCCUCCUCAUUUUUCUGUAUAGGGCAGGAGAUUUUAUCCUCAAGAGAGCACACUCAUACAUCCAUUGCUGUGUGUAUCUUCUGCCAUUUGGACCCUUUGCCUUUGCACAAUGGAUACAGGCCAGAACAGCUUCCUUUUGACGAGGUGUUAAUAUUUCAAGCACUGAACCCAGGAGUUAUUAUGGACCAACUUGGCGACCUGCUGUUCAUAAUAAGAAUAUGUUCUCUAGAAUAUGUUCAAAAAAGUGGCUUUUCUAAGUCUGAAGAAUUGUUCCUCCAGACAAUGCAUUGGUAGAAGACAGGGAUUCGUAGUUGGGGCACUGGUGGGGAUUGUUACACAAAAUAUACUGCUAACCCAUAAGGGAAAAAACUUUUUUUUUACUUGUUACCC